AACGACUCUCGGCAACGGAUAUCUCGGCUCUCGCAUCGAUGAAGAACGUAGCGAAAUGCGAUACUUGGUGUGAAUUGCAGAAUCCCGUGAACCAUCGAGUCUUUGAACGCAAGUUGCGCCCGAAGCCUCUAGGCCGAGGGCACGUCUGCCUGGGCGUCACGC
RNAcentral lists this ribosomal RNA (162 nucleotides) under Leucosceptrum canum. Its description in RNAcentral is "5.8S ribosomal RNA". It matches the Rfam family "5.8S ribosomal RNA". From Rfam's summary of the family: 5.8S ribosomal RNA (5.8S rRNA) is a component of the large subunit of the eukaryotic ribosome. It is transcribed by RNA polymerase I as part of the 45S precursor that also contains 18S and 28S rRNA. The record is from RNAcentral. Lineage: Eukaryota; Viridiplantae; Streptophyta; Magnoliopsida; Lamiales; Lamiaceae. RNAcentral also lists the same sequence under 1 other name.